AUGCCUUCCCUCGCCGGUGACCUCCGGGGAAGUCGACCGCUGAACCGACAACCGACGGGCCGACACGCGCGAGCAGCCACGGAGAAGCCGGUGGCUGAGUUCGCCGGUCAUGGCGUACCCGUAUGUCUUCCACGCGCAGGCGCCACCGGCGAGAGCGGAGGAAUACAAGUCCAAGGGCGCAAUGCCGCAGCCACAGGUCAGGACCCAGUGGCCGGCCGGCAGCGGCAGCGGCGGAGGGCGUGGGCGUGGUGGCGGAGGCGGGUGGAUGGGCCUUGGCUCCCGCGAGAGGCCGCUGGCGAGCUCUUACGAUCUCGUGGAGCAGAUGCGUUACCUGUACGUGCGCGUCGUCAAGGCGCGCGGCAUCCCCGUGGGCGCGGUCACCGGCGGGUGCAGCCCCUACGUCGAGGUGCGCCUCGGCAACUACCGCGGCACGACGCCGCACCACGAGAGGAAGUCGAAUCCAGAGUGGAACCAGGUGUUCGCCUUCUCCAGGGAGCGCGUCCAGGCCACGGCGCUGGAGGUGUUCGUCAGGGACAGGGACGCCGUGGCGCGCGACGACUACGUCGGCAGGAUCGCGUUCGACAUAGCGAGGUGCCGCUGCGCAUGCCGCCCGACAGCCCGCUCGCGCCGCAGUGGUACCGCCUCGAGAACGUGCGCCAUGGUGGCAAGAUGGUGCUGCCGACCGAGGUCAUGCUCGCGGUGUGGGUCGGCACGCAGGCCGACGAGGCGUUCGGGGACGCAUGGCACGCCGACGCGGCGUCGGUGCGCGGCGGCGCUGAUGGUGUGGCCGCGGUGCAGAGCGCGCGGUCCAAGGUGUACGUGACGCCGAAGCUGUGGUACCUCCGAAUAAACGUGCUGGAGGCACAGGACGUCGUGACGGGCGGUUUCGUCGGCGACAAGGUCCGGCAGCACGUCGAGGUCUUCGCCAAGGUGCAAGUCGGCGGCAUGAUGCUCCGGACCAAGGCGUGCGCCAUGAGGAACCCGACAAGCCUGGCGUGGAACGAGGAGCUGGUUUUCGUUGUGGCGGAGCCGUUCGAGGACCCGGCGGUGCUCAUCGUCGAGGCCCGGGCGCACCCCGGCAAGGACGAGAUCGUCGGGCGUGCCGUGCUGCCGCUCACCAUCUUCGAGAAGCGCCUCGACCGCGUGGCGAUCCACUCGCAGUGGUUCAGCCUCGAGCCAUUCGGGCAUCCGUUGCGCCGGCCGGAAGCCACUUUCGCCGGCCGCGUUCACCUCCGGGCGUGCCUCGAGGGCGCGUACCACGUCAUGGACGAGCCGACCAUGUAUGUCAGCGACACGCGCCCGACGGCGCGGCAGCUGUGGCGGCCGCCCGUCGGUGUGCUUGAGGUCGGCGUCCUCGGCGCGCAGGGGCUCACUCCCAUGAAGACCACCGACGGACGGGGCACCACCGACGCCUACUGCGUGGCCAAGUACGGGCAGAAGUGGGUGCGCACGCGCACCGUCGUCGACUCGUGCAGCCCGCGGUGGAACGAGCAGUACACGUGGGAGGUCUACGACCCCUGCACGGUGCUCACGCUCGCCAUGUUCGACAACUGCCAGCUCGGCAAAGCCAAUGCCGCCGCCGGCAAGGCCGUCCUCAGAGACCAGAUGAUGGGCAAGGUGAGGAUACGCCUCUCCACUCUGGAAAUGGACAAGGUGUACACCAACGCGCACCCGCUCGUCGUGCUGCACCCGUCCGGCGUGCGCAAGAACGGCGAGCUCUGCCUCGCCGUGCGCCUCACCUCCGUUUCUCUCGCCAGCGUCGUGUGCCUGUACGGGAAGCCCCUCCUACCCAAGAUGCACUACGUCCAGCCGUUCGCCGUCCCGCAGCUCGACGCGCUCCGGCGCCAGGCGAUGAGCAUCGUGGCGGCGCGGCUGAGCCGCGCCGAGCCGCCGCUGCGGCGGGAGGUCGUGGAGUACAUGCUGGACGCGGGGUCGCACCUGUGGAGCAUGCGGCGGAGCAAGGCCAACUUCUUCCGGGUCACGGCGCUGCUGUCCGGCGCGGCCAGCACGGCGCGGUGGCUCGUGGACGUGUGCCACUGGAGGAACCCGGUGACCACCGUGCUGGUGCACUUGCUCUUCGUCACGCUCAUGUGCUUCCCGGGGCUCAUCCUGCCGACCGUGUUCCUGUACAUGUCCAUGGCCGGCCUGUGGAACUACCGGCGCCGGCCCCGCCGGCCGGCGAGCAUGGACGCGAGGCUCUCCUGCGCGGAGGCGACCCACCCCGACGAGAUCGACGAGGAGCUGGACACGUUCCCGACGUCGAAGCCGAACGACGUGGUGCGGCUGCGGUACGACCGGCUGCGGAGCGUGGCCGGGCGGAUCCAGACGGUGGUCGGCGACGUGGCGACGCAGGGGGAGAGGGUGCGCUCGCUGCUCGCGUGGAGGGACCCGAGGGCGACGGCGCUGUCCACGGCGCUCUGCCUCGUCACCGCCGUGACGCUGUACGUCACGCCACUCCGGGUGGUGGCGCUCGUCGCCGGGCUGUACGCGCUCCGCCACCCGCGGUUCCGGAGCCGGAUGCCGUCGGCCGCCGGCAACUUCUUCAAGAGGCUGCCCUCCAGGGCCGACACCAUGCUGUAG
RNAcentral lists this ribosomal RNA (2580 nucleotides) under Triticum aestivum (bread wheat). Its description in RNAcentral is "partial small subunit ribosomal RNA". Lineage: Eukaryota; Viridiplantae; Streptophyta; Magnoliopsida; Poales; Poaceae. The record is from RNAcentral.